AUUUGGAAUUGAGGUUAACGGAUUUCUGCAUUUUGGAGUUUUGGAAAGGAAGGAGCUACUGCGUCAGUUUUUGUUGAGACUGAAAGAAAAGGUGUUGAAACUGUUGUCGAAGGUGGAUUGCAGCAGCGACGACUUGAUUCCCAAUCUGGAAAAGAAGAGCGGACUCGAGUGUGUGCACUUGGAUUUGGACACAUGAUCGAAAGUCGGGAACGAACCCGAAUGUGGACGAGCACUCCAAUUUCCAGUGUGCAGGUUUCGAGCAUGUGGUCGGGAAGCGUACAGGGGAGGCACAUGACCCGGCUUGGCGCAUUUCUCUU
Long non-coding RNA from Rosa rugosa (rugosa rose), 317 nucleotides. RefSeq lists it as uncharacterized. Lineage: Eukaryota; Viridiplantae; Streptophyta; Magnoliopsida; Rosales; Rosaceae. The record is from RefSeq and is a predicted model, not a curated record. The transcript has 4 exons.